This 254-nucleotide ribosomal RNA is filed under the name uncultured bacterium. Its description in RNAcentral is "partial 16S ribosomal RNA". It matches the Rfam family "Bacterial small subunit ribosomal RNA", at positions 524 to 776 of the family's 1533-position model. The record is from RNAcentral.
UACGGGGGGAGCAAGCGUUGUUCGGAUUUACUGGGCGUAAAGGGCGCGUAGGCGGUCAGCACAAGUCAGUUGUGAAAUCUCCGAGCUUAACUCGGAAAGGUCAACUGAUACUGUGCGGCUAGAGUGCGGAAGGGGCAACUGGAAUUCUUGGUGUAGCGGUGAAAUGCGUAGAUAUCAAGAGGAACACCUGCGGCGAAGGCGGGUUGCUGGGCCGACACUGACGCUGAGGCGCGAAAGCUAGGGGAGCGAACGGG